AUUAAAGAGUAAGGGUGCUCAGCGCCCGACCUCCAACCCUUUGUUGUUAAAACUACCUUGUUGCUUUGGCGGGACCGCUCGGUCUCGAGCCGCUGGGGAUUCGUCCCAGGCGAGCGCCCGCCAGAGUUAAACCAAACUCUUGUUAUUUAACCGGUCGUCUGAGUUAAAAUUUUGAAUAAAUCAAAACUUUCAACAACGGAUCUCUUGGUUCUCGCAUCGAUGAAGAACGCAGCGAAAUGCGAUAAGUAAUGUGAAUUGCAGAAUUCAGUGAAUCAUCGAAUCUUUGAACGCACAUUGCGCCCCUUGGUAUUCCGAGGGGCAUGCCUGUUCGAGCGUCAUUACACCACUCAAGCUAUGCUUGGUAUUGGGUGCCGUCCUUAGUUGGGCGCGCCUUAAAGACCUCGGCGAGGCCUCACCGGCUUUAGGCGUAGUAGAAUUUAUUCGAACGUCUGUCAAAGGAGAGGACUUCUGCCGACUGAAACCUUUAUUUUUCUAGGUUGACCUCGGAUCAGGUAGGGAUACC
This 523-nucleotide ribosomal RNA is filed under the name Aureobasidium pullulans. Its description in RNAcentral is "eukaryotic LSU rRNA". The stretch from base 185 to 338 matches the Rfam family "5.8S ribosomal RNA". The record is from RNAcentral. Lineage: Eukaryota; Fungi; Ascomycota; Dothideomycetes; Dothideales; Saccotheciaceae.